RNAcentral lists this ribosomal RNA (492 nucleotides) under uncultured bacterium. RNAcentral's name for it is "partial 16S ribosomal RNA". It matches the Rfam family "Bacterial small subunit ribosomal RNA", at positions 29 to 507 of the family's 1533-position model. The record is from RNAcentral.
AGUGAACGCUGGCGGUAGGCCUAACACAUGCAAGUCGAACGGCAGCACAGUAAGAGCUUGCUCUUACGGGUGGCGAGUGGCGGACGGGUGAGGAAUACAUCGGAAUCUACUUUUUCGUGGGGGAUAACGUAGGGAAACUUACGCUAAUACCGCAUACGACCUACGGGUGAAAGCAGGGGAUCUUCGGACCUUGCGCGAUUGAAUGAGCCGAUGUCGGAUUAGCUAGUUGGCGGGGUAAAGGCCCACCAAGGCGACGAUCCGUAGCUGGUCUGAGAGGAUGAUACGCCACACUGGAACUUGGCCACCGUCCAGACUCCUACGGUAGGCCGCAGUGGCGAAUAUUGGACAAUGGUCGCAAGCCUGAUCCAGCCAUACCGCGUGGGUGACGAAGGCCUUCCGGUUGUAAAGCCCUUUUGUUGGGAAAGAAAAGCAGCCGGUUAAUACCCCGCUGUUCUGACGGUACCCAAAGAAUAAGCACCGGCUAACUUCGUG